GCAGGGGAAGGAGGUCAAGGUCCAAAUCACCUGUGAGGCGGCAUAGAUGAUUCUAAGGGAGGACAUCUUGGAAUGAUAUUGCCCGGAAAUGCAAGACAGGCUGGUUGGAGGUUCUUGAAGAUCUAUUAUGGUGUGAAAUUAUCCAAUAGACCCUAAAAACUGGAGAUAUGGCCUAUAAGCAAAUUAUAGCAGUGGAAGUACGUGUACAUUCUCUGAUGUUGAAUCUGCACCAGGAGGUUUACUGGGUUCCGCAGAAUCAUGUUAAAGAUUGUGAAUAUGCUCGGGCCAGGUGCCUUUUUGUCUGUUUUACAAGUGUAACAUGUGCAGUUGAAACAGCAGGAAGCAGUAUUGUUAUCUGUUGUAUUGUUUGGCCUUUGCAAGGAAUGAAAAUCUGACAGGCUAGCAUUUGAGAGUUAAAUAGACAGCCGUA
This 430-nucleotide unclassified non-coding RNA is filed under the name Hevea brasiliensis (rubber tree). The record is from RNAcentral. Lineage: Eukaryota; Viridiplantae; Streptophyta; Magnoliopsida; Malpighiales; Euphorbiaceae.